CUGCGAAUGGCUCAUUAAAUCAGUUAUCGUUUAUUUGAUAGUACCUUACUACUUGGAUAACCGUGGUAAUUCUAGAGCUAAUACAUGCUGAAAACCUCGACUUCGGAAGGGGUGUAUUUAUUAGAUAAAAAACCAAUGCCCUUCGGGGCUCUUUGGUGAUUCAUGAUAACUUCUCAGAUCGCAUGGCCUUGCGCCGGCGACGGUUCAUUCAAAUUUCUGCCCUAUCAACUUUCGAUGGUAAGGUAUUGGCUUACCAUGGUUUCAACGGGUAACGGGGAAUUAGGGUUCGAUUCCGGAGAAGGAGCCUGCGAGACGGCUCCUACAUCCAAGGAAGGCAGCAGGCGCGCAAAUUACCCAAUCCCGACACGGGGAGGUAGUGACAAUAAAUACUGAUACAGGGCUCUUUUGGGUCUUGUAAUUGGAAUGAGUACAAUUUAAACCUCUUAACGAGGAACAAUUGGAGGGCAAGUCUGGUGCCAGCAGCCGCGGUAAUUCCAGCUCCAAUAGCGUAUAUUAAAGUUGUUGCAGUUAAAAAGCUCGUAGUUGAACCUUGGGCCUGGCUGGCGGGUCCGCCUCACCGCGUGUACUUGACCGGCCGGGCCUUCUCUUCUGGAGAACCUCAUGCCCUUUACUGGGCGUGUUGGGGACCAGGACUUUUACUUUGAAAAAAUUAGAGUGUUCAAAGCAGGCCUUUGCUCGAAUAUGUUAGCAUGGAAUAAUAGAAUAGGACGUGCGGUCCUAUUUUGUUGGUUUCUAGGACCGCCGUAAUGAUUAAUAGGGACAGUCGGGGGCAUCAGUAUUCAAUUGUCAGAGGUGAAAUUCUUGGAUUUAUUGAAGACUAACUACUGCGAAAGCAUUUGCCAAGGAUGUUUUCAUUAAUCAGUGAACGAAAGUUAGGGGAUCGAAGACGAUCAGAUACCGUCGUAGUCUUAACCAUAAACUAUGCCGACUAGGGAUCGGGCGAUGUUUCAAUAUUGACUCGCUCGGCAC
RNAcentral lists this ribosomal RNA (990 nucleotides) under Helicascus mangrovei. RNAcentral describes it as "SSU rRNA". It matches the Rfam family "Eukaryotic small subunit ribosomal RNA", at positions 87 to 1086 of the family's 1831-position model. The record is from RNAcentral. Lineage: Eukaryota; Fungi; Ascomycota; Dothideomycetes; Pleosporales; Morosphaeriaceae.